UACGUAGGGGGCGAGCGUUGUCCGGAUUUAUUGGGCGUAAAGAGCGUGUAGGCGGCCAGGUAGGUCCGUUGUGAAAACUCGAGGCUCAACCUCGAGACGUCGGCGGAAACCCUCUGGCUAGAGUCCGGAAGAGGAGAGUGGAAUUCCUGGUGUAGCGGUGAAAUGCGCAGAUAUCAGGAGGAACACCAAUGGCGAAGGCAGCACUCUGGGACGUGACUGACGCUGAGACGCGAAAGCGUGGGGAGCAAACAGG
RNAcentral lists this ribosomal RNA (253 nucleotides) under uncultured bacterium. RNAcentral's name for it is "partial 16S ribosomal RNA". It matches the Rfam family "Bacterial small subunit ribosomal RNA", at positions 524 to 776 of the family's 1533-position model. The record is from RNAcentral.